Gasterosteus aculeatus aculeatus (three-spined stickleback) is the source of this 1917-nucleotide long non-coding RNA. The record is from Ensembl. NCBI's taxonomy places the organism in Eukaryota, Metazoa, Chordata, Actinopteri, Perciformes, Gasterosteidae.
CACGCACACACACGUAUACCAUAUAUAUAUAUAUAUAACAGGAGAUGGAGAGAUGGGAGAUGGAGCCCCCCCACCGUCCCAGAGGAAGGCCUCCUCUCGUUGCCUCCUCACGCAGAGCUGGUCUCUCCUGGGCGAGGGGAGACGUUUUCUCUGCAUCACUCCAUUGAUCCGGCGAGGAGACGUUUGUUUUUCUUGGUUUGGUUGGGUUUGGUUUCGUGUGCGCAGCACACGGGGACCAGCCGAGUUCCUCCUAAGCAGGAAACCCCCCUCUGAGAACAUAUUUGUCUGUUUUGGUGUGAAAAUUGGAAAUAGCUGUAAAAUUCCCUUUCCCUCUUUUUGGUAUAAACGGCAGACGGAAAAUGACUCACCAGCCAGAUUAAACCGAUGAAUGUGUGUGUGCAGUAAACCUCUUAUAUAUGCUUGGGUGUUUAAGCCUUUAGUGCAGAAUGAUGACAUGAUCCCCCCCCCCACGUAUCCCCCCAUCACCGGGGCCUCGGCCUCUUUUCAGAUACGCCCGGAUAUUUUAAAGGAGCAGGUAUAUUUUUUUCAAGUCCGUCUUAAAACAACAUUUGAGUGCCGAUUUGAGUUCUUCUUCCCGUCCACGAAAUAAAUCCCCUCACAAAGGUUUUCUGAUGUAAGAAUCGGAGGAUUAAAGCGGUAUAAUUCAGUUAAUUGUAAGCUUCAGUAGCUGGAAUCACUCAAAGCGAGUCGUUCCCUUUGAAAUUGAAAAACACGUGUUUUAUUGCCUCGGUGGAGGCGGGGAAGGAGUUCUGAAAGGGCCCGAAGUGCCCGGGGGCCUCCUGGCCCUCGCCCGCUAAAUGCUACUCAAGGAGACUGAAAACAACUGCAAAGAAGUGCAAAAGCCCAAAGAGACUCACAAAUGACCAACGGUAAAAAAAAAAAAAAGUGAUUACAAAGAGGCACCGUGUGACUACGAAGAGACGGCCGGCCACUUCAAGGGGACAAAACAUGACAAAAGAGACACAAAAUGAGCACAAAGAGGUGAAACAGCCGUUGUUUCUUACUGUGAACGGCGGUGGAGGAACAUCUAAGUCUGUAGAAUCACAUUGAGCAAAGGAGCUCAAGUAGGACAUUUAAGGGACUUUAAGACGGACUUAAAAUGUGAACCUUUCCUUUAAUUUCUAUCAUUAUUUGUGGGGUUUUAAUAAUGCUCUAGUUGUGUUUUUCCUCAAAAUAAUGCUACUUUCUGAUUUUUACUUUACCCUGUCAAGUUAUGGAAGUCUACAACUAAAGACCAAAGUGUUUAAAUACCGUCUCUAUGCAUUGCAAAAUAAUGCUGAAUCAGCCAAAGACGUGAUGGUGCGUGUGACAUUAUAUUGGGUCUAAUUUGAUUUAAAUGAUUCAGUCAUUUGAAGGGCUUCAUUUAGUAGCUGCAUAUUGUUGGUAUGAUUGAGCUUUAAUGACCUAAUUGUCUUAUCUUAUCAUAUUCAGAAAUGUAUGAGUGCCCAUGUAAUGAAUGAGUCCAAAUAUUCAGAACAUAUUUCAUUAAAAAAAAACAUUUAAAUAUUUUUUAAAUUGACAAAUGUUUGUUUUUCAUAUCUGUAAAUGUAAUUGCAUUUUUAUGCACUGGAUUUAUGUUUAUUUUAGGAUAUUUAACUUUUGUUCUGCAGGCGACAACGCGAAUUUGGGUCUGAAUGAAUUUCCACUUUUUGUCCACAAGGGGUCAGUUUAUUUCACAAAGUGUACAUUUUGAAAGAGUAGGUGCAGACCAGCCUUAAAUAUUAGUGAUUAAACAUGCAAUGAGUCUCGAUGGCAGGACCCCGGGGUCAGAGGUCACCUCCUUACCCCCGGGACAUGUGACCGGUACAUCGCGACUGCAUGCAGAGAAUCCCUGCACACGUCUGAAUUAAAAUAAGCACCGAGAACCAAAUAAUCAGUAUUCUGAUGCUUUUGGGG